RNAcentral lists this ribosomal RNA (2234 nucleotides) under Salmonella enterica. RNAcentral describes it as "bacterial LSU rRNA". It matches the Rfam family "Bacterial large subunit ribosomal RNA", at positions 594 to 2812 of the family's 2925-position model. Lineage: Bacteria; Pseudomonadati; Pseudomonadota; Gammaproteobacteria; Enterobacterales; Enterobacteriaceae. The record is from RNAcentral.
UGACUGCGUACCUUUUGUAUAAUGGGUCAGCGACUUAUAUUCUGUAGCAAGGUUAACCGAAUAGGGGAGCCGUAGGGAAACCGAGUCUUAACCGGGCGUUAAGUUGCAGGGUAUAGACCCGAAACCCGGUGAUCUAGCCAUGGGCAGGUUGAAGGUUGGGUAACACUAACUGGAGGACCGAACCGACUAAUGUUGAAAAAUUAGCGGAUGACCUGUGGCUGGGGGUGAAAGGCCAAUCAAACCGGGAGAUAGCUGGUUCUCCCCGAAAGCUAUUUAGGUAGCGCCUCGUGAAUUCAUCUCCGGGGGUAGAGCACUGUUUCGGCUAGGGGGCCAUCCCGGCUUACCAACCCGAUGCAAACUGCGAAUACCGGAGAAUGUUAUCACGGGAGACACACGGCGGGUGCUAACGUCCGUCGUGAAGAGGGAAACAACCCAGACCGCCAGCUAAGGUCCCAAAGUCAUGGUUAAGUGGGAAACGAUGUGGGAAGGCCCAGACAGCCAGGAUGUUGGCUUAGAAGCAGCCAUCAUUUAAAGAAAGCGUAAUAGCUCACUGGUCGAGUCGGCCUGCGCGGAAGAUGUAACGGGGCUAAACCAUGCACCGAAGCUGCGGCAGCGACACUAUGUGUUGUUGGGUAGGGGAGCGUUCUGUAAGCCUGUGAAGGUGUGUCGUGAGGCAUGCUGGAGGUAUCAGAAGUGCGAAUGCUGACAUAAGUAACGAUAAAGCGGGUGAAAAGCCCGCUCGCCGGAAGACCAAGGGUUCCUGUCCAACGUUAAUCGGGGCAGGGUGAGUCGACCCCUAAGGCGAGGCCGAAAGGCGUAGUCGAUGGGAAACGGGUUAAUAUUCCCGUACUUGGUGUUACUGCGAAGGGGGGACGGAGAAGGCUAUGUUGGCCGGGCGACGGUUGUCCCGGUUUAAGCGUGUAGGUGUGUGUUCCAGGUAAAUCCGGUUCACUUUAACACUGAGGCGUGAUGACGAGGCACUACGGUGCUGAAGCAACAAAUGCCCUGCUUCCAGGAAAAGCCUCUAAGCAUCAGGUAACAUCAAAUCGUACCCCAAACCGACACAGGUGGUCAGGUAGAGAAUACCAAGGCGCUUGAGAGAACUCGGGUGAAGGAACUAGGCAAAAUGGUGCCGUAACUUCGGGAGAAGGCACGCUGACACGUAGGUGAAGUGAUUUACUCAUGGAGCUGAAGUCAGUCGAAGAUACCAGCUGGCUGCAACUGUUUAUUAAAAACACAGCACUGUGCAAACACGAAAGUGGACGUAUACGGUGUGACGCCUGCCCGGUGCCGGAAGGUUAAUUGAUGGGGUCAGCGCAAGCGAAGCUCCUGAUCGAAGCCCCGGUAAACGGCGGCCGUAACUAUAACGGUCCUAAGGUAGCGAAAUUCCUUGUCGGGUAAGUUCCGACCUGCACGAAUGGCGUAAUGAUGGCCAGGCUGUCUCCACCCGAGACUCAGUGAAAUUGAACUCGCUGUGAAGAUGCAGUGUACCCGCGGCAAGACGGAAAGACCCCGUGAACCUUUACUAUAGCUUGACACUGAACAUUGAGCCUUGAUGUGUAGGAUAGGUGGGAGGCUUUGAAGCGUGGACGCCAGUCUGCGUGGAGCCGACCUUGAAAUACCACCCUUUAAUGUUUGAUGUUCUAACGUGGACCCGUGAUCCGGGUUGCGGACAGUGUCUGGUGGGUAGUUUGACUGGGGCGGUCUCCUCCUAAAGAGUAACGGAGGAGCACGAAGGUUGGCUAAUCCUGGUCGGACAUCAGGAGGUUAGUGCAAUGGCAUAAGCCAGCUUGACUGCGAGCGUGACGGCGCGAGCAGGUGCGAAAGCAGGUCAUAGUGAUCCGGUGGUUCUGAAUGGAAGGGCCAUCGCUCAACGGAUAAAAGGUACUCCGGGGAUAACAGGCUGAUACCGCCCAAGAGUUCAUAUCGACGGCGGUGUUUGGCACCUCGAUGUCGGCUCAUCACAUCCUGGGGCUGAAGUAGGUCCCAAGGGUAUGGCUGUUCGCCAUUUAAAGUGGUACGCGAGCUGGGUUUAGAACGUCGUGAGACAGUUCGGUCCCUAUCUGCCGUGGGCGCUGGAGAACUGAGGGGGGCUGCUCCUAGUACGAGAGGACCGGAGUGGACGCAUCACUGGUGUUCGGGUUGUCAUGCCAAUGGCACUGCCCGGUAGCUAAAUGCGGAAGAGAUAAGUGCUGAAAGCAUCUAAGCACGAAACUUGCCCCGAGAUGAGUUCU